UUUCUGCCACCGAAUACAUUAGCAUGGGAUAAUGGAAUAGGACCCUGUCCUCCUAUUUUCAGUUGGUUUUGGCAGCGCGAGGACUAGGGUAAUGAUUAAUAGGGAUAGUUGGGGGCAUUAAUAUUUAAUUGUCAGAGGUGAAAUUCUUGGAUUUAUGAAAGAUUAACUUCUGCGAAAGCAUCUGCCAAGGAUGUUUUCAUUAAUCAAGAACGAAAGUUAGGGGAUCGAAGACGAUCAGAUACCGUCGUAGUCUUAACCAUAAACGAUGCCGACCAGCGAUUAGGAGACGUUGAAUACAAAACACCACCAUCGGCGCGGUCGCCCUUGGCGCGUUCGUGUUCACGCACGGG
Molecule: ribosomal RNA, 350 nt
Filed under: Acanthamoeba sp.
Lineage: Eukaryota; Discosea; Longamoebia; Acanthamoebidae
Also listed under: 1 other name
Description: SSU rRNA
Rfam family: Eukaryotic small subunit ribosomal RNA
Source: RNAcentral